RNAcentral lists this ribosomal RNA (253 nucleotides) under uncultured bacterium. Its description in RNAcentral is "partial 16S ribosomal RNA". It matches the Rfam family "Bacterial small subunit ribosomal RNA", at positions 524 to 776 of the family's 1533-position model. The record is from RNAcentral.
UACGUAGGGCGCAAGCGUUGUCCGGAAUUAUUGGGCGUAAAGAGCUCGUAGGCGGUCUGUCGCGUCUGCUGUGAAAACUCAGGGCUUAACUCUGAGCUUGCAGUGGGUACGGGCAGACUAGAGUGCGGUAGGGGAGACUGGAAUUCCUGGUGUAGCGGUGAAAUGCGCAGAUAUCAGGAGGAACACCGGUGGCGAAGGCGGGUCUCUGGGCCGUAACUGACGCUGAGGAGCGAAAGCAUGGGGAGCGAACAGG